GCGGAGAUGGAUCGACUGGGAGAUAUGGGACGGUCUAGGGAGAAUCGUACGGAAGGUGAUGAGGGAGCAGAUCCAUAGAGGUUGACCUUGGUGCGGGACGCCGAUCUUUGAAAGAAACCGGUGGUUCGGGAAGAGAAACCGGAGCUUGAGGAAGCGAAGGCAGAGGAAGAUGAGGAGGGAAUGGGCGAAGAGUUGAAUUUUCCAGAACGAGAGAAUGACCCUAGUACUGGUCCGCUCGAUCUUCUAGAGGAAGCCGCCAUUUUUUUUUUUGGUUGCAGUAGAGAGAAAGAAGGGGAAACCUUUAUUUUCAGAUACCGC
Molecule: long non-coding RNA, 318 nt
Filed under: Vitis vinifera (wine grape)
Lineage: Eukaryota; Viridiplantae; Streptophyta; Magnoliopsida; Vitales; Vitaceae
Description: long non-coding RNA (VVIN_LNC003451)
Source: RNAcentral